Molecule: long non-coding RNA, 499 nt
Organism: Prosopis cineraria
Lineage: Eukaryota; Viridiplantae; Streptophyta; Magnoliopsida; Fabales; Fabaceae
Exons: 3
Source: RefSeq, a predicted model, not a curated record
UCUUCGUUUUGCUUUUCCUUUAUCUCUCUCCCCGUCUAGACUCUUCGAUUCCAAAUCCUGUCCCUUCUUAGUCGCAUCUCUCUUGCCCGAGUCCACGCAUUCUCUGUCAGUCGUUUCUCCUCUUCAGCUAUCGGCUCCAACAAGAAUCAAUCAACAACAAUGACUCAUAUCCUUUGAUAUGUUUCACAAAGGCUUGUAUUUUCUUUUAACGAACUAUGUUGAUCUUGGAUUGAUUGUCUCGCCGUUUCGUUGGCUAGAAAAUCUGAGAUAUUAUCUGGAAACUACUUGAUGCUUCUUCUUUUUCUCCCCCCCUUCUUUGUUCUUUUGUUUAGCUUUAACUGAAGCGCACGUGGAAACCAGAGGGAUCGAGAUCGAGAACGAGCUCAAGCUAGGGCUACUACUAAAGGCAAGCAACCUAGGAACGAUGGUUUAACCCCUGAACAACGCCGGGAAAGAGAUGCAAAGGCAUUACAAGAGAAAGCAACAAGGAAGGCAGCUC